AUGUUUAUCUUUUUUACACUCUGGACUACAGUUUUAGGUUUCUCUCAUCUGAAUUAUUCACCUCUUGCGAGAUACUACUAUGCCUUGAGGAUAAAACAGCAGCUGCUGAGAUAUCACAGGCCGGUGUCCUCUUCUGAAUUAUUGGAAGCAAUCAUUCAGCGCAAUAACUACGGCGGUCCAGUCCUCGGUGGCCUGCAGUGCACACAACAUGACAUAGUUUGUUUCACACAACCUGGUCAGCUCCGCCUAUUCUCUUCUUCCUCACUGCCGCUGCUCUCCACCAUCUGCCACACAUCUGCGCCACUCAACUUCGGAUAG
This 318-nucleotide ribosomal RNA is filed under the name Triticum aestivum (bread wheat). RNAcentral describes it as "partial small subunit ribosomal RNA". The record is from RNAcentral. Lineage: Eukaryota; Viridiplantae; Streptophyta; Magnoliopsida; Poales; Poaceae.